AACUGAAACAUCUAAGUACCCCGAGGAAAAGAAAUCAACCGAGAUUCCCCCAGUAGCGGCGAGCGAACGGGGAGCAGCCCAGAGUCUGAAUCAGCUUGUGUGUUAGUGGAACGGUCUGGAAAGUCCGACGGUACAGGGUGAUAGUCCCGUACACCAAAAUGCACAGGCUGUGAACUCGAAGAGUAGGGCGGGACACGUGGUAUCCUGUCUGAAUAUGGGGGGACCAUCCUCCAAGGCUAAAUACUCCUGACUGACCGAUAGUGAACCAGUACCGUGAGGGAAAGGCGAAAAGAACCCCGGCGAGGGGAGUGAAAAAGAACCUGAAACCGUGUACGUACAAGCAGUGGGAGCACCUUCGGGUGUGACUGCGUACCUUUUGUAUAAUGGGUCAGCGACUUAUAUUCUGUAGCAAGGUUAACCGUAUAGGGGAGCCGCAGGGAAACCGAGUCUUAACUGGGCGUUAAGUUGCAGGGUAUAGACCCGAAACCCGGUGAUCUAGCCAUGGGCAGGUUGAAGGUUGGGUAACACUAACUGGAGGACCGAACCGACUAAUGUUGAAAAAUUAGCGGAUGACUUGUGGCUGGGGGUGAAAGGCCAAUCAAACCGGGAGAUAGCUGGUUCUCCCCGAAAGCUAUUUAGGUAGCGCCUCGUGAACUCAUCUUCGGGGGUAGAGCACUGUUUCGGCUAGGGGGUCAUCCCGACUUACCAACCCGAUGCAAACUACGAAUACCGAAGAAUGUUAUCACGGGAGACACACGGCGGGUGCUAACGUCCGUCGUGAAGAGGGAAACAACCCAGACCGCCAGCUAAGGUCCCAAAGUCAUGGUUAAGUGGGAAACGAUGUGGGAAGGCACAGACAGCCAGGAUGUUGGCUUAGAAGCAGCCAUCAUUUAAAGAAAGCGUAAUAGCUCACUGGUCGAGUCGGCCUGCGCGGAAGAUGUAACGGGGCUAAACCAUGCACCGAAGCUGCGGCAGCGACACUAUGUGUUGUUGGGUAGGGGAGCGUUCUGUAAGCCUGCGAAGGUGUGCUGUGAGGCAUGCUGGAGGUAUCAGAAGUGCGAAUGCUGACAUAAGUAACGAUAAAGCGGGUGAAAAGCCCGCUCGCCGGAAGACCAAGGGUUCCUGUCCAACGUUAAUCGGGGCAGGGUGAGUCGACCCCUAAGGCGAGGCCGAAAGGCGUAGUCGAUGGGAAACAGGUUAAUAUUCCUGUACUUGGUGUUACUGCGAAGGGGGGACGGAGAAGGCUAUGUUAGCCGGGCGACGGUUGUCCCGGUUUAAGCAUGUAGGCUGAUUAUCCAGGCAAAUCCGGAUAAUCAAGGCUGAGGUGUGAUGACGAGGCACUACGGUGCUGAAGUAACAAAUGCCCUGCUUCCAGGAAAAGCCUCUAAGCAUCAGGUAACAUUAAAUCGUACCCCAAACCGACACAGGUGGUCAGGUAGAGAAUACCAAGGCGCUUGAGAGAACUCGGGUGAAGGAACUAGGCAAAAUGGUGCCGUAACUUCGGGAGAAGGCACGCUGGUGUGUAGGUGAAGUCCCUGCGGAUGGAGCUGAGACCAGUCGAAGAUACCAGCUGGCUGCAACUGUUUAUUAAAAACACAGCACUGUGCAAACACGAAAGUGGACGUAUACGGUGUGACGCCUGCCCGGUGCCGGAAGGUUAAUUGAUGGGGUUAUCCGUAAGGAGAAGCUCUUGAUCGAAGCCCCGGUAAACGGCGGCCGUAACUAUAACGGUCCUAAGGUAGCGAAAUUCCUUGUCGGGUAAGUUCCGACCUGCACGAAUGGCGUAAUGAUGGCCAGGCUGUCUCCACCCGAGACUCAGUGAAAUUGAACUCGCUGUGAAGAUGCAGUGUACCCGCGGCAAGACGGAAAGACCCCGUGAACCUUUACUAUAGCUUGACACUGAACAUUGAGCCUUGAUGUGUAGGAUAGGUGGGAGGCUUUGAAGCGUGGACGCCAGUCUGCGUGGAGCCAACCUUGAAAUACCACCCUUUAAUGUUUGAUGUUCUAACGUUGGCCCCUGACCGGGGUUGCGGACAGUGUCUGGUGGGUAGUUUGACUGGGGCGGUCUCCUCCCAAAGCGUAACGGAGGAGCACGAAGGUUAGCUAAUCCUGGUCGGACAUCAGGAGGUUAGUGCAAUGGCAUAAGCUAGCUUGACUGCGAGCGUGACGGCGCGAGCAGGUGCGAAAGCAGGUCAUAGUGAUCCGGUGGUUCUGAAUGGAAGGGCCAUCGCUCAACGGAUAAAAGGUACUCCGGGGAUAACAGGCUGAUACCGCCCAAGAGUUCAUAUCGACGGCGGUGUUUGGCACCUCGAUGUCGGCUCAUCACAUCCUGGGGCUGAAGUAGGUCCCAAGGGUAUGGCUGUUCGCCAUUUAAAGUGGUACGCGAGCUGGGUUUAGAACGUCGUGAGACAGUUCGGUCCCUAUCUGCCGUGGGCGCUGGAGAAUUGAGGGGGGCUGCUCCUAGUACGAGAGGACCGGAGUGGACGCAUCACUGGUGUUCGGGUUGUCAUGCCAAUGGCACUGCCCGGUAGCUAAAUGCGGAAGAGAUAAGUGCUGAAAGCAUCUAAGCACGAAACUUGCCCCGAGAUGAGUUCUCCCUGAGACUUUAAGUCUCCUGAAGGAACGUUGAAGACGACGACGUUGAUAGGCCGGGUGUGUAAGCGCAGCGAUGCGUUGAGCUAACCGGUACUAAUGAACCGUGAGGCUUAACCUU
This 2713-nucleotide ribosomal RNA is filed under the name Klebsiella pneumoniae. RNAcentral's name for it is "bacterial LSU rRNA". It matches the Rfam family "Bacterial large subunit ribosomal RNA". Lineage: Bacteria; Pseudomonadati; Pseudomonadota; Gammaproteobacteria; Enterobacterales; Enterobacteriaceae. The record is from RNAcentral.